CCAAUAUGCGUACGGUCCCUAAUCUCAUCGCUUGCUUCAUUCUUUCUCUUAUUUGAGACUUCAUUUUGGAAUUUAUGCACGGGCUUGAACCUAUCUUGCUCUUGCUUCUUCUCUUUCUGGUCAUCCUUGUUACGAUAGUCGUUGUUGUUCUUAUUUUGAGUUGUACAUCGAUUUCUGUUGUUAGUGAAAAUAGUCAUGUAUAUAGCUUGCAUGUGGGUUGGUGCUUGGAGAGCUUCCAAGAUCACAUGAUCUUCAAUUUAUUGAGGGUUAUUAUAGCCCUUUUGUUUCCAAGUGCAUUCUGCCAAGUCCUCGUUGGUAUCACUUUUGAAGUUCAUGGUUAUUUUCCUUAUGUUGCAGAGCUCUUUAUAUUGCCCCUUAAGAAGAUAUUAUAGAUCACAAUACCUUCCAAAUGAGCAUCUGAAGUGGUGGAAGCAUAGUUCGAGUGGUUGGUUUUCUCAUUGCUGAUAUUGAUGCUCUCAUAUAAGGUGUCCUUCUUUCCAAUAUCCUUCUUCUUGUUCUCCUUAGUAGUCUGUCUAUUAUUGUUGAAGUUCAUAUAGGUAGAAUUAUUGUUCUUCUUGUGACUUUGACUUUUGCGAUUUGUUCGGCUAGUGCGUAAGGCUUUUCCAUAUGUAAUUAUCCUUAAGGUUGGUCUUGAUAUCCUAAAUAAUGGAAUUCGGGAAAUAUUAAGCUUCCAAAUAAAUGUUGAUAAGAGUGUUUUCAUUAAUUAGGAUUCUCCAAAUUUUCUUAGCUAGAAGAGCAUCAUUAAUGAUGGUCAUCUUCCUAAAUCCUAAGCUACCUUUGUCUUUCAAAAGGAGAAUCUUAUCCCAAAUUUUCCAACAUAUGCUUCUCUUAUUUGGUUCUCCCCCACCAAAAAUUCCUAAUCAUAUUGUCGAUCUUAUCAUUUAGGUUACUAGGAAGUUUAAAGACAUUCAUAGCAUAAGUAGGAAUGUCUUGAAUAACUGCUUUUGCUUUAAUGAGGAUAACUUUUCUGGCAUAAGAUAGAUGUUUGUUGUUCCAGUCAUUAAUCUUGUUUUUGACCCUAUCAAGAAAAUAAACUGAAGUUAGAUCUGCAUAUAUGAGAGGGAAGGCCCAUGUACUUUCUCAUUUGAUUAGUUAUGUCAAUGGGCAUCUACUAAAUGAAAUUCAUUCGAGUAUCAUUAUUUGAUUUACUACUCAAUAUCAUAGAAAAUAUUAGUUGAAAUAAAUAAGUUGACGCAGACUAUUUUGGUACUUUUUUAGGAUUGGGUAAGGCUCUUUUGAUUCCUCCUCAUUAGCCCUACCAAAAAUUAAGAUAUCAUCAGCAAAAAAAAAUAGAUGUGAUAUUGUUAGGGGCAACCUUGGAUAUUUUUAGGUCGUGAGUACAACAUAUAGAUUGGCUAUUAGUGAUCUUCCUUGACAACAUCUCAACACAAAGAAUGACAAUGUAGGGGAUAUAUGGUCCCCUUAUCUGAUACCUCUAGAAAAAGUAGAACCAUAAUUACUAUCAUUAAUGAGAAUAGAGAAAGAAACAAUAUUAACACAAUUAAGAAUAGUGCUAGUGAGGUUUUGAUGAAAUCCCAUUACAAGUAAGCUAUUCUUGAUGAAAUCUAAUUUAAGUCUAUCAUAGGAUUUAGUCAUGUCUAACUUUAGUCAAACGUAGCGUUUAUUUUUAUUUUUUAUUCUUGCUAAGAGAGUGGAAGGAUUCAAAAUCCAAAAUGAUAUUGUCAUUUAUUAAUCUCUUCGGAAUGGAAGCACUUUGACAAGGGUUGAUAGUAGUAUUAAGCAUAGGUUUGAUUCUGUUAACAAUAGUUUAGUGAUGAUUUUAAGAGUGACAUUGCAUAAGGAUAUAGUCUAAAAUCUAUGGCCUUUUUGUUAGACGGUGUGGCUAGUGAUCGAGAGGGGGGUGAAUAGAUCACCUCUUUUAACUAAACGGAUUUAAAAAAUCUUAUCAGAGUUAUUGAAACUUAGCGGAAAGUUUGUGAGCAAAUUCUUUACUUUGAAUAAGUUUUGAAUGAUAGUAAAUUGUGUGAUCAUUGUCUAAUUGUUGGUUGUGCAUUAUUUUACAUGUUUCAUUUGUGUUUUUAGCCUAUACUAUUGUUUCGUGUCUAUACAUAAAGAUCCACAUUGAUACAUUUCUUAAAAGAACUCAUAAAAACUGUUUUGUGUCAGUAUGUAUCGAUACAUGUUCAUCUGCAUCGAUACAUAAAUUUGUUUUAAAUCACAAAACGUUUUUGCUUCAGUAUGUAUCGAUACAUACGAGCUUUGUAUCGAUACAUGCUUAGUUAAAAUGUUCUAUGUAUCGAUACAUACGAGCUUUGUAUCGAUACAUGCUUAGUUAAAAUGUUCUAUGUAUCGAUACAUACGAGCUUUGUAUCGAUACAUGCUUGUAUUAAUUCUCUAAAAUUAAUCAAAGCUACAGUAUGUAUCGAUGCAUAAUCUUUUGUAUCAAUACAUAAUUCUGUUUUGUCUACUAACAGCUUCUGUCUUUCACAUAUAAGAAGUAUUUUUGACAGCUCAGUUAAAGAGUACGAAUUCAGAAGUGAAAAACAGUUGUAACACAAAUCAAAGGAGUGUGUAGCAGCAAUUGUUUUGAGCAGUUAGAAAUCUGAAAGAGACUUCAUCUUCUUCAUCUUCUCAAUCUCUUUUCUUCAAGAACAUCAACACAUAAUCAUUCUUGUUCUUUGGAUUAAAGGAUCAACGAGAUAACGUUCAGUGGAACGAUGAAGGAUCUAGCUGAGGUGUUCAGUGGAACGAUCGAGGAUCUAGCUGAGUUGAAGGUUGAAGGGGGUUUCGAGGAAAAACCAAAUGGUUUGUCCUUCAAGAACUGAAGUGUUCUUGCGGGUUUGUUAGUCACGUUUGCAGAACAGAUUCAGCCGUAGCGUAGGGUUUGGAAAUUGGGUAAUUUCGCAAAUAGGUCGUGAAACCGGUGAAUUGUUUGCAAUUUCUUGCAGGAAAUUCUUGAUCGAGCUCAGAUCAAGUGGAAGUUUUAUACAAGAAGAAGAUCUUGGGAUUUAGAUUUCUGUCUUUGUAUUGUAACCUUGUAUCAACGAAUUCGACAUUAUUGAUAACAACAGUUCUCAAUUUCAUUUGAAAUUGAGAGGGAGACGUACCCACACGCGAGGACGACAGUGGGGAACUUCCUUACCAAAUCUCUGCGUAUCGUAUUCUUUCCUUAUUUAUCUUUACGUUUUCAACAGUUUUGUGAUUUCAGUUAGUGUAUUGUGGCUGUACAUUUCGUGAUACAAUAGUGGCAAGAAAACUUCUUUAUCUAAACUCCACCAUUGUUCAUCAUUGAUCACAUACACACCAAAUGUUUGACAAAACUGUCAGCUGAGUUUUAUUCAUUGGAAUUAGAAUUUAGUGAUAAGUGCAUUUGAUUUGAUAAUAUUCUGGUGUUAAUAAUCUCUAUCGUUCCUAUUCAAAUCCAGCAAUAAAUUCGCGUGUCCGGUUUUCUAGUAGCGGU
Long non-coding RNA from Lathyrus oleraceus (garden pea), 3442 nucleotides. RefSeq lists it as uncharacterized. The record is from RefSeq and is a predicted model, not a curated record. NCBI's taxonomy places the organism in Eukaryota, Viridiplantae, Streptophyta, Magnoliopsida, Fabales, Fabaceae. The transcript has 5 exons.